AGUCUGACCAGCACGCCUCGUGAGUGAUGACGGUUUUUGGGUUUGUAAACUUUUGUCUUGUUGGGGGAGUGUGACGGUACCUGAGGGGGAAGCCCCGGCUAAUACGUGCCAACAGCCGCGGUAAUACAUAGGGGGCCAGCGUUGUCCGGAAUUACUGGGCGUAAAGGGAGCGUAGGCGGCUUUACAAGUUACAUGUGAAAACCCCGGGUUUCUCCGGGCUUUGCCGUGCUGUGUUCGUUAGUGAAUGGGAGCAGAAGCAAUUCCUAUGGUGCGCGAAAUGCGUAGAGAUAUGAGGAACAACACUGUGAAGGCGCUUGCUGGGCCUUAAAUACCGCUCAGGAUCGCAAACGCGGGGGGCACACACGAUGAUAUACCCUGGUAGUCCACGCUGUAAACGAUGAUUACUAG
Molecule: ribosomal RNA, 408 nt
Filed under: uncultured bacterium
Lineage: Bacteria
Description: bacterial SSU rRNA
Rfam family: Bacterial small subunit ribosomal RNA
Source: RNAcentral